This 77-nucleotide transfer RNA is filed under the name Desulfovibrio psychrotolerans. Its description in RNAcentral is "tRNA-Pro". It matches the Rfam family "tRNA". From Rfam's summary of the family: Transfer RNA (tRNA) molecules are approximately 80 nucleotides in length. RNAcentral also lists the same sequence under 5 other names. Lineage: Bacteria; Pseudomonadati; Thermodesulfobacteriota; Desulfovibrionia; Desulfovibrionales; Desulfovibrionaceae. The record is from RNAcentral.
CGGGAUGUGGCUCAGUUUGGUAGAGCGCUGCGUUCGGGACGCAGAGAUCGAAGGUUCGAAUCCUUUCAUCCCGACCA